UUAAGCGACUAAGCGUACACGGUGGAUGCCCUGGCAGUCAGAGGCGAUGAAGGACGUGCUAAUCUGCGAUAAGCGUCGGUAAGGUGAUAUGAACCGUUAUAACCGGCGAUUUCCGAAUGGGGAAACCCAGUGUGUUUCGACACACUAUCAUUAACUGAAUCCAUAGGUUAAUGAGGCGAACCGGGGGAACUGAAACAUCUAAGUACCCCGAGGAAAAGAAAUCAACCGAGAUUCCCCCAGUAGCGGCGAGCGAACGGGGAGCAGCCCAGAGCCUGAAUCAGUAUGUGUGUUAGUGGAAGCGUCUGGAAAGGCGCGCGAUACAGGGUGACAGCCCCGUACACAAAAAUGCACAUAUUGUGAGCUCGAUGAGUAGGGCGGGACACGUGGUAUCCUGUCUGAAUAUGGGGGGACCAUCCUCCAAGGCUAAAUACUCCUGACUGACCGAUAGUGAACCAGUACCGUGAGGGAAAGGCGAAAAGAACCCCGGCGAGGGGAGUGAAAAAGAACCUGAAACCGUGUACGUACAAGCAGUGGGAGCACGCUUAGGCGUGUGACUGCGUACCUUUUGUAUAAUGGGUCAGCGACUUAUAUUCUGUAGCAAGGUUAACCGAAUAGGGGAGCCGAAGGGAAACCGAGUCUUAACUGGGCGUUAAGUUGCAGGGUAUAGACCCGAAACCCGGUGAUCUAGCCAUGGGCAGGUUGAAGGUUGGGUAACACUAACUGGAGGACCGAACCGACUAAUGUUGAAAAAUUAGCGGAUGACUUGUGGCUGGGGGUGAAAGGCCAAUCAAACCGGGAGAUAGCUGGUUCUCCCCGAAAGCUAUUUAGGUAGCGCCUCGUGAAUUCAUCUCCGGGGGUAGAGCACUGUUUCGGCAAGGGGGUCAUCCCGACUUACCAACCCGAUGCAAACUGCGAAUACCGGAGAAUGUUAUCACGGGAGACACACGGCGGGUGCUAACGUCCGUCGUGAAGAGGGAAACAACCCAGACCGCCAGCUAAGGUCCCAAAGUCAUGGUUAAGUGGGAAACGAUGUGGGAAGGCCCAGACAGCCAGGAUGUUGGCUUAGAAGCAGCCAUCAUUUAAAGAAAGCGUAAUAGCUCACUGGUCGAGUCGGCCUGCGCGGAAGAUGUAACGGGGCUAAACCAUGCACCGAAGCUGCGGCAGCGACGCUNNNNNNNNNNNNNNNNNNNNNNNNNNNNNNNNNNNNNNNNNGAAGGUGUGCUGUGAGGCAUGCUGGAGGUAUCAGAAGUGCGAAUGCUGACAUAAGUAACGAUAAAGCGGGUGAAAAGCCCGCUCGCCGGAAGACCAAGGGUUCCUGUCCAACGUUAAUCGGGGCAGGGUGAGUCGACCCCUAAGGCGAGGCCGAAAGGCGUAGUCGAUGGGAAACAGGUUAAUAUUCCUGUACUUGGUGUUACUGCGAAGGGGGGACGGAGAAGGCUAUGUUGGCCGGGCGACGGUUGUCCCGGUUUAAGCGUGUAGGCUGGUUUUCCAGGCAAAUCCGGAAAAUCAAGGCUGAGGCGUGAUGACGAGGCACUACGGUGCUGAAGCAACAAAUGCCCUGCUUCCAGGAAAAGCCUCUAAGCAUCAGGUAACAUCAAAUCGUACCCCAAACCGACACAGGUGGUCAGGUAGAGAAUACCAAGGCGCUUGAGAGAACUCGGGUGAAGGAACUAGGCAAAAUGGUGCCGUAACUUCGGGAGAAGGCACGCUGAUAUGUAGGUGAAGUCCCUCGCGGAUGGAGCUGAAAUCAGUCGAAGAUACCAGCUGGCUGCAACUGUUUAUUAAAAACACAGCACUGUGCAAACACGAAAGUGGACGUAUACGGUGUGACGCCUGCCCGGUGCCGGAAGGUUAAUUGAUGGGGUUAGCCGCAAGGCGAAGCUCUUGAUCGAAGCCCCGGUAAACGGCGGCCGUAACUAUAACGGUCCUAAGGUAGCGAAAUUCCUUGUCGGGUAAGUUCCGACCUGCACGAAUGGCGUAAUGAUGGCCAGGCUGUCUCCACCCGAGACUCAGUGAAAUUGAACUCGCUGUGAAGAUGCAGUGUACCCGCGGCAAGACGGAAAGACCCCGUGAACCUUUACUAUAGCUUGACACUGAACAUUGAGCCUUGAUGUGUAGGAUAGGUGGGAGGCUUNGAAGUGUGGACGCCAGUCUGCAUGGAGCCGACCUUGAAAUACCACCCUUUAAUGUUUGAUGUUCUAACGUUGACCCGUAAUCCGGGUUGCGGACAGUGUCUGGUGGGUAGUUUGACUGGGGCGGUCUCCUCCUAAAGAGUAACGGAGGAGCACGAAGGUUGGCUAAUCCUGGUCGGACAUCAGGAGGUUAGUGCAAUGGCAUAAGCCAGCUUGACUGCGAGCGUGACGGCGCGAGCAGGUGCGAAAGCAGGUCAUAGUGAUCCGGUGGUUCUGAAUGGAAGGGCCAUCGCUCAACGGAUAAAAGGUACUCCGGGGAUAACAGGCUGAUACCGCCCAAGAGUUCAUAUCGACGGCGGUGUUUGGCACCUCGAUGUCGGCUCAUCACAUCCUGGGGCUGAAGUAGGUCCCAAGGGUAUGGCUGUUCGCCAUUUAAAGUGGUACGCGAGCUGGGUUUAGAACGUCGUGAGACAGUUCGGUCCCUAUCUGCCGUGGGCGCUGGAGAACUGAGGGGGGCUGCUCCUAGUACGAGAGGACCGGAGUGGACGCAUCACUGGUGUUCGGGUUGUCAUGCCAAUGGCACUGCCCGGUAGCUAAAUGCGGAAGAGAUAAGUGCUGAAAGCAUCUAAGCACGAAACUUGCCCCGAGAUGAGUUCUCCCUGACUCCUUGAGAGUCCUGAAGGAACGUUGAAGACGACGACGUUGAUAGGCCGGGUGUGUAAGCGCAGCGAUGCGUUGAGCUAACCGGUACUAAUGAACCGUGAGGCUUAACCUU
This 2907-nucleotide ribosomal RNA is filed under the name Escherichia coli. Its description in RNAcentral is "bacterial LSU rRNA". It matches the Rfam family "Bacterial large subunit ribosomal RNA". The record is from RNAcentral. Lineage: Bacteria; Pseudomonadati; Pseudomonadota; Gammaproteobacteria; Enterobacterales; Enterobacteriaceae.